GUCUUAUUAGCUUAAUGGUAGAGCAAAGUACUUUUUAAAGGUAUUUUUAUUUUAGUUCAAUUCUAAAAUGAGAUG
This 75-nucleotide transfer RNA is filed under the name Emericellopsis fuci. RNAcentral describes it as "Acremonium fuci tRNA-Gly". It matches the Rfam family "tRNA". Rfam says of the family: Transfer RNA (tRNA) molecules are approximately 80 nucleotides in length. Their secondary structure includes four short double-helical elements and three loops (D, anti-codon, and T loops). The record is from RNAcentral. Lineage: Eukaryota; Fungi; Ascomycota; Sordariomycetes; Hypocreales; Bionectriaceae.